RNAcentral lists this ribosomal RNA (2916 nucleotides) under Vibrio jasicida. Its description in RNAcentral is "bacterial LSU rRNA". It matches the Rfam family "Bacterial large subunit ribosomal RNA". Lineage: Bacteria; Pseudomonadati; Pseudomonadota; Gammaproteobacteria; Vibrionales; Vibrionaceae. The record is from RNAcentral.
GUUGUAUGGUUAAGUGACUAAGCGUACACGGUGGAUGCCUUGGCAGUCAGAGGCGAUGAAGGACGUAUUAACUUGCGAUAAGCCCAGAUUAGGUAGUAAAAACCACUUGAGUCUGGGAUUUCCGAAUGGGGAAACCCACUAGCAUAAGCUAGUAUCGCUGCGUGAAUACAUAGCGCAGCGAGGCGAACCGGGGGAACUGAAACAUCUAAGUACCCCGAGGAAAAGAAAUCAACCGAGAUUCCGAAAGUAGCGGCGAGCGAAAUUGGACUAGCCCUUAAGCUUUAUAUGCGUUAGACGAACGGUCUGGAAAGUCCGGCAAUAAAGGGUGAUAGCCCCGUAGUUGACAACGCACAUUCAGUGAAAUCGAGUAGGGCGGGACACGUGAUAUCCUGUCUGAAUAUGGGGGGACCAUCCUCCAAGGCUAAAUACUACUGACUGACCGAUAGUGAACCAGUACCGUGAGGGAAAGGCGAAAAGAACCCCUGUGAGGGGAGUGAAAUAGAACCUGAAACCGUGUACGUACAAGCAGUAGGAGCACCUUCGUGGUGUGACUGCGUACCUUUUGUAUAAUGGGUCAGCGACUUAUAUUCAGUGGCAAGGUUAACCAUCUAGGGGAGCCGUAGCGAAAGCGAGUGUUAACUGCGCGACUUAGUCGCUGGAUAUAGACCCGAAACCAGGUGAUCUAGCCAUGGGCAGGUUGAAGAUUGAGUAACAUCAAUUGGAGGACCGAACCGACUAAUGUUGAAAAAUUAGCGGAUGACUUGUGGCUAGGGGUGAAAGGCCAAUCAAACCUGGAGAUAGCUGGUUCUCCCCGAAAGCUAUUUAGGUAGCGCCUCGGACGAAUACUACUGGGGGUAGAGCACUGUUAAGGCUAGGGGGUCAUCCCGACUUACCAACCCUUUGCAAACUCCGAAUACCAGUAAGUACUAUCCGGGAGACACACGGCGGGUGCUAACGUCCGUCGUGGAGAGGGAAACAACCCAGACCGCCAGCUAAGGUCCCAAAUUAUUACUAAGUGGGAAACGAUGUGGGAAGGCUCAGACAGCCAGGAUGUUGGCUUAGAAGCAGCCAUCAUUUAAAGAAAGCGUAAUAGCUCACUGGUCGAGUCGGCCUGCGCGGAAGAUGUAACGGGGCUAAGUAAUAAACCGAAGCUGCGGCAAUGAAGUUUACUUCAUUGGGUAGGGGAGCGUUCUGUAAGCCGUUGAAGGUGUGUUGUAAAGCAUGCUGGAGGUAUCAGAAGUGCGAAUGCUGACAUGAGUAACGAUAAAGGGGGUGAAAAACCUCCUCGCCGGAAGACCAAGGGUUCCUGUCCAACGUUAAUCGGGGCAGGGUAAGUCGACCCCUAAGGCGAGGCCGAAAGGCGUAGUCGAUGGGAAACGGGUUAAUAUUCCCGUACUUCUUACAAUUGCGAUGGGGGGACGGAGAAGGCUAGGUGGGCCUGGCGACGGUUGUCCAGGUUCAAGUGCGUAGGCCGAAGAGUUAGGUAAAUCCGGCUCUUCUUAAGGCUGAGACACGACGUCGAGCUACUACGGUAGUGAAGUCAUUGAUGCCAUGCUUCCAGGAAAAGCCUCUAAGCUUCAGAUUGUAAGGAAUCGUACCCCAAACCGACACAGGUGGUCGGGUAGAGAAUACCAAGGCGCUUGAGAGAACUCGGGUGAAGGAACUAGGCAAAAUGGUACCGUAACUUCGGGAGAAGGUACGCUCUUGAUGGUGAAGUCCCUUGCGGAUGGAGCUGACGAGAGUCGCAGAUACCAGGUGGCUGCAACUGUUUAUUAAAAACACAGCACUGUGCAAAAUCGUAAGAUGACGUAUACGGUGUGACGCCUGCCCGGUGCCGGAAGGUUAAUUGAUGGGGUUAGACUUCGGUCGAAGCUCUUGAUCGAAGCCCCGGUAAACGGCGGCCGUAACUAUAACGGUCCUAAGGUAGCGAAAUUCCUUGUCGGGUAAGUUCCGACCUGCACGAAUGGCGUAAUGAUGGCCACGCUGUCUCCACCCGAGACUCAGUGAAAUUGAAAUCGCUGUGAAGAUGCAGUGUACCCGCGGCUAGACGGAAAGACCCCGUGAACCUUUACUACAGCUUGGCACUGAACAUUGACCCUACAUGUGUAGGAUAGGUGGGAGGCUUUGAAGCACAGUCGCUAGAUUGUGUGGAGCCGUCCUUGAAAUACCACCCUUGUAGUGUUGAUGUUCUAACGUCGACCCCUUAUCGGGGUUGCGGACAGUGCCUGGUGGGUAGUUUGACUGGGGCGGUCUCCUCCCAAAGAGUAACGGAGGAGCACGAAGGUGGGCUAAUCACGGUUGGACAUCGUGAGGUUAGUGCAAUGGCAUAAGCCCGCUUGACUGCGAGAAUGACAAUUCGAGCAGGUGCGAAAGCAGGUCAUAGUGAUCCGGUGGUUCUGUAUGGAAGGGCCAUCGCUCAACGGAUAAAAGGUACUCCGGGGAUAACAGGCUGAUACCGCCCAAGAGUUCAUAUCGACGGCGGUGUUUGGCACCUCGAUGUCGGCUCAUCACAUCCUGGGGCUGAAGUCGGUCCCAAGGGUAUGGCUGUUCGCCAUUUAAAGUGGUACGCGAGCUGGGUUUAGAACGUCGUGAGACAGUUCGGUCCCUAUCUGCCGUGGGCGUUGGAAGAUUGAAGGGGGCUGCUCCUAGUACGAGAGGACCGGAGUGGACGAACCUCUGGUGUUCGGGUUGUGUCGCCAGACGCAUUGCCCGGUAGCUAAGUUCGGAAUCGAUAACCGCUGAAAGCAUCUAAGCGGGAAGCGAGCCCUGAGAUGAGUCUUCCCUGAUACUUUAAGUAUCCUAAAGGGUUGUUCGAGACUAGAACGUUGAUAGGCAGGGUGUGUAAGCGUUGUGAGGCGUUGAGCUAACCUGUACUAAUUGCCCGUGAGGCUUAACCAUACAACACCCAAGGGGUUU